CAAUAGCGUAUAUUUGGAUUGUUGCGGUUAAAAGCUCGUAGUUGGAAUUCUGCCGAAGACGACCGGUCCGCCCUGUGGGUGAGCAUCUGGAUCGGCUUGGGUAUCUUCUUGGAGAACCGAGCUGCACUUGAUUGUGUGGAUCGGUAUCAAGGAGCUUGGGGAACUCGGUUACUUUAGCAUGGAAUAAUAAGAUAGGAUUUCGGUUCUAUUUUGUUGGUUUCUAGAAUUGGGGUAUUGAUUACUAGGGAUAUUUGGGGGCAUUCGUAUUUAAAAAGAUAGAGGUGAAAUUCUUGGAUUUGUUAAAUACGGACUACUGCGAAAGCAUUUGCCAAGGAUGUUUUCAUUGAUCAAGAACGAAAGUUAGGGGAUCGAAGACGAUCAGAUACCAU
RNAcentral lists this ribosomal RNA (389 nucleotides) under uncultured eukaryote. RNAcentral's name for it is "bacterial SSU rRNA". It matches the Rfam family "Eukaryotic small subunit ribosomal RNA", at positions 592 to 1018 of the family's 1831-position model. The record is from RNAcentral.